AUGGCUCCACAACACUUCCCUGCUCUGGGAGGCAGGCAGGAGCGAGUGCAGACCCCGGGCAGAGCAAAGGCAGCCCAGAAACAGAAUCACAGAAUCCUUCACCUGGCAACAGGGCACCGAGUCCAGCCUGGACCGUCCCCUCUUUGUCACCAGCCCAGAGCACUGAGCUCAGUCUUUGCUUGGACUCCACCCUGGAGAGCCCCUUCACUGCCUGACCACCUUUUCCAUGAGGGAAUUCUCCUGAGGAUGGGCUGCUGGAGCACUGCUGUCCCAGCCCUGCUGCUGCCAAGGCUCGAGGGCCACGGGACACUUCCCUGGCUGCUGCAGGACCUGCUCCAGCCCCAGUGGGGUGCUCAGCUCCCCUGGCACAGGGAAGAGGCACACAGGGAGUAAUUACCUGUUUUCCCCAUCACUGUUUAAUGACAAGGGAUGAAUGGGCCUCCUGUACAGUUACUGAUAGGUGACUGCAUCAUCUGAUGGAGAGUCACGGCAGAGGCUGCCCAGGUAUUGCAGGACCCAGCGGGAAUUGGGGACACUCACUCCAAAAACCUGCUCUGCCUUGUGACUGUGGCCUCAAGAUCAUCCCCAGCAUUGCCCAGACCAGGGAUGUUGGCUAUAAAAAUGAUUUGUCAUUGAGAAUGUGGAUGUAUAACCUGACAUUACUCUUUAGCUUUAGCAGGAAAUAGAUCUGAGGACAAAUCCUCAAGCCGUGGGGUCCAGUUCUCCUUCCCGUGCCCUGAGGCAGCUCUUACCCGAGUGCAGCUCCUUCACCAGGGAGGACAUGGUGUUGGUGAUGGAAUCAGCUGCCACCAGCAGGUCAUUGCGGAGGUUCCUCCUCGUUCCUGGGCGGGGCAGACACACCGGAGUCAGGAAGGGCAGCCCUGCCAGCUCUGUGUGUGCCCCGUGUCCCCCAGCUCAGCCUCGCUGUGCCCACCCGGGAUGGCACCUGGGCACUCCUGCUGCCACCAGAGCAGGGGACAGGGAGUGACCCUGGCACAGCCCCGGGGCACUGAGAGCCCCCUGGCCCCCGUCCCCAUCGGCAGAGCCGCUCCCAGGGCUGCUGGGGUGGGAUAAAGGCUGCUGGAAUUGUCACCCCCCUGCAGGGCUGGACAAGGGAAUCCCCAGGGCUCUGAGCUGGCCCCUGAACUGCCUGGACACCUCCAUUGAGCCAUGGAUGGGCAGCACCACCAGUGACCACCAACAGCCCCAGCAUGGCCACAGCUGUGCCAGCCCAGCCAGGAGAGCACAGGAAC
RNAcentral lists this long non-coding RNA (1253 nucleotides) under Parus major (Great Tit). Its description in RNAcentral is "lncRNA (ENSPMJG00000007447.1)". The record is from RNAcentral. Lineage: Eukaryota; Metazoa; Chordata; Aves; Passeriformes; Paridae.